UCAAUAAAGCAGCUUAAUUAGGUGUGAGCCUUAACAACGCUGACAAACGUGUGAACUUAGUUGAACCGACAUACAAAUGUGUUUCUGCAUCAGUCGACAUUGUCUCAUACACAUGAGCUUUGGCAAAAUUUUCUGCUCCAACAUCGCGGAUCAUGUCCUCUAAUUUGUCUUCAUCUAGUCGAUCUUCUUCCAUGGUGGAAUCAAUAACAUUUUCAGUUUGGGAGUCAGUGGAAAAAUGCAUUUCUUCGUCCUGCCAUAUCCAUGUUUUAGGAAACCAUCACAGAUAAGAUGUUCUCUAAUUUGGGUUGCGUUCAACUUUCUCCCAUUCAAACAGUUCACACAAGGACAUCUAAACUUCACUUCAUCAUCACUUGUACCCUCAUUACGUUGUGCAAAUUGUAUAAAUUCCCUCUACCCUUCUCUCGUACUC
Molecule: long non-coding RNA, 430 nt
Filed under: Vigna radiata
Lineage: Eukaryota; Viridiplantae; Streptophyta; Magnoliopsida; Fabales; Fabaceae
Description: long non-coding RNA (VRAD_LNC005935)
Source: RNAcentral